This 206-nucleotide long non-coding RNA is filed under the name Gossypium raimondii (Peruvian cotton). RNAcentral's name for it is "long non-coding RNA (GRAI_LNC003938)". Lineage: Eukaryota; Viridiplantae; Streptophyta; Magnoliopsida; Malvales; Malvaceae. The record is from RNAcentral.
AGAACCGUUGGGCAGUGAAACAGGGGAAGGUUUAAUGAAUAAACUGUACUAAUUAGCUGGGUUAAAAAUUCUGAAAUUUUUAUGGUGAAAUGGUAUAUGAGUCUAGUUUCAGGGAAAAUUUACGGAACUCAAUUUGGAGCCCUGUAGCUCCAGAUAAAAAUAAAUUAGCGACUAUGACGCAGAAAAACAGCUUGCUGGAAAUUGCC